RNAcentral lists this long non-coding RNA (526 nucleotides) under Zea mays. RNAcentral's name for it is "long non-coding RNA NONZMAT001869". The record is from RNAcentral. Lineage: Eukaryota; Viridiplantae; Streptophyta; Magnoliopsida; Poales; Poaceae.
GCCCGGUCCCGCAGUCGUCUUCCCCGCUGGCACGACCGUGCGGCUAGGGCGCCACCGCCUCAGCCCGCUCUCGCCUGGCUGGCAAUCCGGACCGUUUGCCGCCCUCUCCCCUUCCUCGGAUCGGAAAUUGGCGCCUUCUCCUCUCCCUCUCCUCCCCACUCCCCUCUUCUCCGGGCAGUAACAGACGUCGUUAUGGCCAACGCCAUCAAUGGCGUUUUGAUUCCCGAUUGCCAUUGAUGACCGAUCGUUCUCCUCCUCCCUCGGUGUUCUCUCGGUUUCCCCUCUCUCUAUAAAAACCGCCGACCAGAGCUCUCUCUUCUCUCCCCUGCCCGAGCUCUCCCUCACCCGCGACCGCGCCACACCGCCGGAUGCCCACGAGCCCGCCGCCUCGCCGGAGCUCGAACCCUGCCUCCAGUCGACGCCAGAGUCACUCGCCAAUCCUCACUGCCUCGCCGUCCGCCUUGCUCUUGCUCGGCCGUCGCGCUCCCCCUCGACGAGCCCCUCCCUGCACACUAACUAGCCCGAG